Oncorhynchus masou masou (cherry salmon) is the source of this 673-nucleotide long non-coding RNA. RefSeq lists it as uncharacterized. The record is from RefSeq and is a predicted model, not a curated record. NCBI's taxonomy places the organism in Eukaryota, Metazoa, Chordata, Actinopteri, Salmoniformes, Salmonidae. The transcript has 3 exons.
UUAAAAAAAAUACACGGCUUCUUAAACUAGUAGGCUAAUUCCACAGCCAACCCGAUACGAGUAGUGUCAUUUUGGUUGUGAAGUGCAUUAGCAGCAUAAAGAACACCAGCAAGGGGGCCCUCAUCAGUGAGAGUUUGUGUGUGAACGACCAGUAUCUUUGAUGAGGAGCCAGGAGCUCUACAGGGCUAUGCCCAUCAACGGGGCUCUGGCAAAGAACUCACCUCCAGCCUCUUGCCUGCUCUCCAACAGUCAUCGAUGGGGAGAACAGAUCACGGUAGGCUUAGUCUGACCUUUUUAGUCUGACCUUCAACAUAGUAUGUUUGUGUGUCAGAUAUUACCUAUCCCUAACUACCAUUGGUAAUAGAAUAAUGACCUGUGUGUGUGUUUACAGAUGCAUGCAGACCUGGCACUCAACACAUCCACAAUGAGAUGGACUGGAGAUGCUUUUGCCAGAUGGCAGCCUCAGUUGUUUGAUGUGGAGACCGUAAUUGCGUGACUACCUCAUGAAGCUGGUUGAAAGAAUGCCAAGAGUGUACAAAGCUGUCAUCAAGGCAAUGGGUGGCUACUUUGAAGAAUCUCAAAUAUAAAAUAUGUAUUGAUUUGUUUAACACUUUUUUUGGUUACUACAUGAUUCCAUAUGUGUUAUUUCAUAGUUUUGUUGUCUUCACUAAUA